Molecule: long non-coding RNA, 201 nt
Filed under: Mytilus galloprovincialis (Mediterranean mussel)
Lineage: Eukaryota; Metazoa; Mollusca; Bivalvia; Mytilida; Mytilidae
Source: RNAcentral
AAUCUUAGUUCGUAUAUGGUUUUGUUGAAGUUUGGUCAUAGGAAUUAAAACCAAUUUGGAUUAUUUGAUUAGUUGUUUGUUUCGAAAACCACUUGUGCAUUAAUUAUAUAGUAACUACAACUAGCAAAUGUUGUGCUAUAACUAUUUUGCUAUAAUUAGUUAUCAAAGGUACCAGGCUUUUAUUUAAUACGCCAGACGCGC